UACGAAGGGGGCUAGCGUUGUUCGGAAUUACUGGGCGUAAAGGGCGCGUAGGCGGCUGUGCAAGUCAGGUGUCGAAAGCCCUGGGCUCAACCCAGGAUGUGCACUUGAUACUGCGCGGCUAGAGUGUCGGAGAGGAUGGUGGAAUUCCCAGUGUAGAGGUGAAAUUCGUAGAUAUUGGGAAGAACACCGGUGGCGAAGGCGACCAUCUGGACGACAACUGACGCUGAGGCGGCGAAAAGCGUGGGGAGCGAACAGG
This 256-nucleotide ribosomal RNA is filed under the name uncultured bacterium. RNAcentral describes it as "partial 16S ribosomal RNA". It matches the Rfam family "Bacterial small subunit ribosomal RNA", at positions 524 to 776 of the family's 1533-position model. The record is from RNAcentral.